CCUACGGGAGGCAGCAGUAGGGAAUAUUGCUCAAUGGGGGAAACCCUGAAGCAGCAACGCCGCGUGGAGGAUGAAGGUUUUCGGAUUGUAAACUCCUUUUGUUAGAGAAGAUAAUGACGGUAUCUAACGAAUAAGCACCGGCUAACUCCGUGCCAGCAGCCGCGGUAAUACGGAGGGUGCAAGCGUUACUCGGAAUCACUGGGCGUAAAGAGCGCGUAGGCGGGAUAGCAAGUCAGAGGUGAAAUCCUAUGGCUUAACCAUAGAACUGCAUUUGAAACUGUUAUUCUAGAGUAUGGGAGAGGUAGGUGGAAUUCUUGGUGUAGGGGUAAAAUGCGUAGAGAUCAAGAGGAAUACUCAGUGCGAAGGCGACCUGCUAGAACAUAACUGACGCUGAUGCGCGAAAGCGUGGGGAGCAAACAGGAUUAGAUACCCCGGUAGUC
Molecule: ribosomal RNA, 440 nt
Filed under: uncultured bacterium
Lineage: Bacteria
Description: partial 16S ribosomal RNA
Rfam family: Bacterial small subunit ribosomal RNA
Source: RNAcentral